AUCUUUCUAGUAUAAACGUCAGUACAAGUGACUUCCAAUCACUUAGUCUUGGUUAAACCAAGGAAAGAUA
RNAcentral lists this transfer RNA (70 nucleotides) under Heteromormyrus pauciradiatus. RNAcentral's name for it is "tRNA-Gly". It matches the Rfam family "tRNA". Rfam says of the family: Transfer RNA (tRNA) molecules are approximately 80 nucleotides in length. Lineage: Eukaryota; Metazoa; Chordata; Actinopteri; Osteoglossiformes; Mormyridae. The record is from RNAcentral.